CCAGACGCUGGCCCGGUUCCAGCUGCAGGUUGAGGUUCUGCAGCACGUCGUGGGUAGCGCCCAACGGACGCAGUACCAGACCGUGCGCCUGCA
Molecule: transfer RNA, 93 nt
Filed under: compost metagenome
Description: tRNA-Leu
Source: RNAcentral